GGUCCUGGGGUGUCACACGUGGGGUUGCAACCCCCAAAACGCAGAUAAUUCCUGCCGGGGCU
Molecule: transfer RNA, 62 nt
Filed under: Craugastor megacephalus
Lineage: Eukaryota; Metazoa; Chordata; Amphibia; Anura; Craugastoridae
Description: tRNA-Cys
Source: RNAcentral